RNAcentral lists this ribosomal RNA (497 nucleotides) under uncultured bacterium. RNAcentral's name for it is "partial 16S ribosomal RNA". It matches the Rfam family "Bacterial small subunit ribosomal RNA", at positions 28 to 507 of the family's 1533-position model. The record is from RNAcentral.
GAUGAACGCUGGCGGCGUGCCUAAUACAUGCAAGUCGAGCGAACAGACGAGGAGCUUGCUCCUCUGACGUUAGCGGCGGACGGGUGAGUAACACGUGGAUAACCUACCUAUAAGACUGGGAUAACUUCGGGAAACCGGAGCUAAUACCGGAUAAUAUAUUGAACCGCAUGGUUCAAUAGUGAAAGACGGUUUUGCUGUCACUUAUAGAUGGAUCCGCGCCGCAUUAGCUAGUUGGUAUGGUAACGGCUUACCAAGGCAACGAUGCGUAGCCGACCUGAGAGGGUGAUCGGCCACACUGGAACUGAGACACGGUCCAGACUCCGACGGGAGGCAGCAGUAGGGAAUCUUCCGCAAUGGGCGAAAGCCUGACGGAGCAACGCCGCGUGAGUGAUGAAGGUCUUCGGAUCGUAAAACUCUGUUAUUAGGGAAGAACAAAUGUGUAAGUAACUAUGCACGUCUUGACGGUACCUAAUCAGAAAGCCACGGCUAACUACGUG